RNAcentral lists this ribosomal RNA (517 nucleotides) under Escherichia coli. RNAcentral's name for it is "partial 23S ribosomal RNA". It matches the Rfam family "Bacterial large subunit ribosomal RNA", at positions 1025 to 1544 of the family's 2925-position model. Lineage: Bacteria; Pseudomonadati; Pseudomonadota; Gammaproteobacteria; Enterobacterales; Enterobacteriaceae. The record is from RNAcentral.
ACCCAGACCGCCAGCUAAGGUCCCAAAGUCAUGGUUAAGUGGGAAACGAUGUGGGAAGGCCCAGACAGCCAGGAUGUUGGCUUAGAAGCAGCCAUCAUUUAAAGAAAGCGUAAUAGCUCACUGGUCGAGUCGGCCUGCGCGGAAGAUGUAACGGGGCUAAACCAUGCACCGAAGCUGCGGCAGCGACGCUUAUGCGUUGUUGGGUAGGGGAGCGUUCUGUAAGCCUGUGAAGGUGUGCUGUGAGGCAUGCUGGAGGUAUCAGAAGUGCGAAUGCUGACAUAAGUAACGAUAAAGCGGGUGAAAAGCCCGCUCGCCGGAAGACCAAGGGUUCCUGUCCAACGUUAAUCGGGGCAGGGUGAGUCGACCCCUAAGGCGAGGCCGAAAGGCGUAGUCGAUGGGAAACAGGUUAAUAUUCCUGUACUUGGUGUUACUGCGAAGGGGGGACGGAGAAGGCUAUGUUGGCCGGGCGACGGUUGUCCCGGUUUAAGCGUGUAGGCUGGUUUUCCAGGCAAAUCCG